RNAcentral lists this ribosomal RNA (253 nucleotides) under uncultured bacterium. Its description in RNAcentral is "partial 16S ribosomal RNA". It matches the Rfam family "Bacterial small subunit ribosomal RNA", at positions 524 to 776 of the family's 1533-position model. The record is from RNAcentral.
UACGAAGGGGGCUAGCGUUGCUCGGAAUCACUGGGCGUAAAGCGCACGUAGGCGGAUUUCUAAGUCAGGGGUGAAAUCCUGGGGCUCAACCUCAGAAUUGCCUCCGAUACUGGCAGUCUCGAGUGCGGGAGAGGUGAGUGGAAUUCCCAGUGUAGAGGUGAAAUUCGUAGAUAUUGGGAAGAACACCAGUGGCGAAGGCGGCUCACUGGCCCGUAACUGACGCUGAGGUGCGAAAGCGUGGGGAGCAAACAGG